RNAcentral lists this ribosomal RNA (489 nucleotides) under uncultured bacterium. RNAcentral describes it as "bacterial SSU rRNA". It matches the Rfam family "Bacterial small subunit ribosomal RNA", at positions 28 to 507 of the family's 1533-position model. The record is from RNAcentral.
GAUGAACGCUAGCUACAGGCUUAACACAUGCAAGUCGAGGGGCAGCAGGGAUUUAGCUUGCUAAAUCCGCUGGCGACCGGCGCACGGGUGCGUAACGCGUAUCCAACUUUCCCGUUACUCAGGGAUAGCCUUCCGAAAGGGAGAUUAAUACCUGAUGGUGUUUGAAAUUCGCAUGUUCUUCAAACUAAAGGUUUUCCGGCCGCGGAUGAGGAUGCGUAUGAUUAGGUAGUAGGCGGGGUAACGGCCCACCUAGCCUUCGAUCAUUAGGGGUUCUGAGAGGAAGGUCCCCCACACUGGAACUGAGACACGGUCCAGACUCCUACGGGAGGCAGCAGUGAGGAAUAUUGGUCAAUGGGCGGAAGCCUGAACCAGCCAAGUAGCGUGAAGGAUUACAGCCCUACGGGUUUAAACUUCUUUUAUAUAAGAGUAAUGUGCACUACGUGUAGUGUAUUGCAAGUACUAUAUGAAUAAGCAUCGGCUAACUCCGUG